ACUCGGCGAUUUAAUUGAGAAUUGAUUUUUUUUAUAUUUUAAUUGAAAUAGCAGGGAUUGUAUUAUUGUUAGAGAAUUAAUUGAUUUUAUUUAUAGUUAAAAGUAUAGAGAUAGAAUAUAUUAAGGUAUAAGAAAGAAGCGUUAAUUAUGCGUACCUUGGGUAUCAGGGUUUACUAAAAAAAGUUAUCUAUAUAAAUUUCUCGAAUUAUAAAGAGUUAUUUGAAUAUGGGAGUUAUUGUAGCAUAAUUAUCAUAAAUAUUCAAAUGGAAGUGAAACGUUAGUCGUUUUAUAAUAUAUCUAGUUAUCUGGGAAAUAAGUUUAAUUUUCUGUCUUAUGUUAUGCAAGUAAAUUUGUAUUUGCAUGUAUAAAGAUGGGAAUAACCUAAGGGAUGAGCUUUGGGUUAAAAUUUUAUAAUGAUAGCCUUUUAAAAUAGAGAGUAGGAUUAGAAUUUUUCAUUUUGAAUUAAUAUGUUGUAAUUAUCUAUUUUAGUUAAAUUAUUUAUGUUUCAUUUAAAUGUUCUACCAGAAAAUGCUUUUUAAUUAAAUGGGAGCAGUAAUAAUGGUAAAAUUAGUAAAUUUAUAUGUAUGGGGGAUUUCUGUGUAAAGGUUAAAGUAAGGAACUCGGCAAAUUUAUUUUUCACCUGUUUAAUAAAAACAUGUCUUUCUGUGAAUAAUUUAAGGUUUAGCCUGCUCCAUGACUAAGUUAAAUAGCCGCAGUAUAUUGACUGUGCAAAGGUAGCAUAAUCAUUAGUUUCUUAAUUGGAAGCUGGAAUGAAGGGCUGGAUGAGGAAAUAGCUGUCUCACUUUAAUUUUCAUUGAAUUUUAUUUUUAAGUCAAAAAGCUUAAAUUAAAUAAAAAGACGAGAAGACCCUAUAGAGUUUGAUAAAUAUAGGUUUUAAUUGUUUAAAGUUUUGAUUGUAGUUAUUAUUUAGUUUAUUUGGUUGGGGUGACAUAGGAAUUUAAUAAACUUCUUUUUUCUAACACAUUAGUUUAUGGGCGGUUGAUCCUGAGAUUUGGAUUAUAAGAAUAAAUUACCUUAGGGAUAACAGCGUAAUCUUUUUGGAGAGCCCAAAUCAAUAAAAGGGAUUGCGACCUCGAUGUUGGAUUAAAGUUAAGUUCAGGUGCAGAAGCUUGAAUUUUGAGUCUGUUCGACUCUUGAAACUUUACAUGAUCUGAGUUUAAACCGGCGUGAGCCAGGUUGGUUUCUAUCUUUUAUAGUUAAAAUAUUUUAGUACGAAAGGACCAGAUAUUUGAAUAUUAAUUUUAAUGAUUGAACAAAAUU
This 1281-nucleotide ribosomal RNA is filed under the name Epicauta hirticornis. Its description in RNAcentral is "16S ribosomal RNA". The stretch from base 507 to 1281 matches the Rfam family "Archaeal large subunit ribosomal RNA", at positions 1423 to 2802 of the family's 2987-position model. The record is from RNAcentral. Lineage: Eukaryota; Metazoa; Arthropoda; Insecta; Coleoptera; Meloidae.